AGGAUAAUAGCUCAGUGGUAGAGUGCCUGCUUAGUAUGUGUGAGGUCCUGGGUUCAAUCCCCAGUACCUCUA
Molecule: transfer RNA, 72 nt
Filed under: Camelus bactrianus (Bactrian camel)
Lineage: Eukaryota; Metazoa; Chordata; Mammalia; Artiodactyla; Camelidae
Also listed under: 2 other names
Rfam family: tRNA
About the family: Transfer RNA (tRNA) molecules are approximately 80 nucleotides in length. Their secondary structure includes four short double-helical elements and three loops (D, anti-codon, and T loops). Further hydrogen bonds mediate the characteristic L-shaped molecular structure. tRNAs have two regions of fundamental functional importance: the anti-codon, which is responsible for specific mRNA codon recognition, and the 3' end, to which the tRNAs corresponding amino acid is attached (by aminoacyl-tRNA synthetases). tRNAs cope with the degeneracy of the genetic code in two manners: having more than one tRNA (with a specific anti-codon) for a particular amino acid; and 'wobble' base-pairing, i.e. permitting non-standard base-pairing at the 3rd anti-codon position.
Source: Rfam by way of RNAcentral